This 433-nucleotide ribosomal RNA is filed under the name uncultured bacterium. Its description in RNAcentral is "partial 16S ribosomal RNA". It matches the Rfam family "Bacterial small subunit ribosomal RNA", at positions 29 to 507 of the family's 1533-position model. The record is from RNAcentral.
AACGAACGCUGGCGGCAUGCCUAACACAUGCAAGUCGAACGAGACCUUCGGGUCUAGUGGCGCACGGGUGCGUAACGCGUGGGAACCUGCCCUUAGGUUCGGAAUAACUCCCCGAAAGGGGUGCUAAUACCGGAUAAUGUCUUCGGACCAAAGAUUUAUCGCCUUUGGAUGGGCCCGCGUUGGAUUAGCUAGUUGGUAGGGUAAAAGCCUACCAAGGCGACGAUCCAUAGCUGGUCUGAGAGGAUGAUCAGCCACACUGGGACUGAGACACGGCCCAGACACCGACGGGAGGGAGCAGUGGGGAAUAUUGGACAAUGGGCGAAAGCCUGAUAAAGAAAUGCGGCGGGAGAGAGGAAGGGGGUAGGGUUGUAAAGCUCUUUGACACGGGAUGAGAAUGACAGUACCGGGAGAAUAAGCUCCGGCUAACUCCGUG